This is a long non-coding RNA of Homo sapiens (human), 497 nucleotides long. Ensembl annotates it as IDH1 antisense RNA 1. Its record names the gene IDH1-AS1. The record is from Ensembl. NCBI's taxonomy places the organism in Eukaryota, Metazoa, Chordata, Mammalia, Primates, Hominidae.
AGCGAGAGGGGCGUGGCCACAGUCAAAGAUGGAGAAUCCAUGGUGCCACUUUCCCGGUGAUCCCGGUGGGGGAAGGGGUUGCCGCCCGGCAGAGAUUCAGUCCCGAAUCCCGACAGCGAAGAGACUUGUAUGCCACCUGCAGGCCGGGGAGCGGGGCGCGCUGGGGCUGCACCACCCCGAACUUUGUAACAAUCUAGAGCACCACAGAGUGUUUCCAGAGAUGGGUUUCAGCAGCCCAGGCUGGUCUCGAACUCCUGGACUCAAGUGAUUGGCCCUCCUCGGCCUCCCAAAGUCCUGGGAUUACAAGCGUGAGCCACCAUGCUCAGUUGGCGGGGGAUUAUCUGUGAUCCAAUGAAGUUGGACUAGAGAUGUGAAGCCUUAGAAAACGGUGGAUUGAAAAAAGAAUUUUAGUCUCCUCCAGAGAUUAUAUUUUGUGUGUUCAUUGCUCUCAAAAACAUGAAAAUAAAGAGUAUUUUAUAUUGUGAUUUGUAGGACAA